GGGUUGUGAGGUUAAGCGACUAAGCGUACACGGUGGAUGCCCUGGCAGUCAGAGGCGAUGAAGGACGUGCUAAUCUGCGAUAAGCGUCGGUAAGGUGAUAUGAACCGUUAUAACCGGCGAUUUCCGAAUGGGGAAACCCAGUGUGUUUCGACACACUAUCAUUAACUGAAUCCAUAGGUUAAUGAGGCGAACCGGGGGAACUGAAACAUCUAAGUACCCCGAGGAAAAGAAAUCAACCGAGAUUCCCCCAGUAGCGGCGAGCGAACGGGGAGCAGCCCAGAGCCUGAAUCAGUGUGUGUGUUAGUGGAAGCGUCUGGAAAGGCGCGCGAUACAGGGUGACAGCCCCGUACACAAAAAUGCACAUGCUGUGAGCUCGAUGAGUAGGGCGGGACACGUGGUAUCCUGUCUGAAUAUGGGGGGACCAUCCUCCAAGGCUAAAUACUCCUGACUGACCGAUAGUGAACCAGUACCGUGAGGGAAAGGCGAAAAGAACCCCGGCGAGGGGAGUGAAAAAGAACCUGAAACCGUGUACGUACAAGCAGUGGGAGCACGCUUAGGCGUGUGACUGCGUACCUUUUGUAUAAUGGGUCAGCGACUUAUAUUCUGUAGCAAGGUUAACCGAAUAGGGGAGCCGAAGGGAAACCGAGUCUUAACUGGGCGUUAAGUUGCAGGGUAUAGACCCGAAACCCGGUGAUCUAGCCAUGGGCAGGUUGAAGGUUGGGUAACACUAACUGGAGGACCGAACCGACUAAUGUUGAAAAAUUAGCGGAUGACUUGUGGCUGGGGGUGAAAGGCCAAUCAAACCGGGAGAUAGCUGGUUCUCCCCGAAAGCUAUUUAGGUAGCGCCUCGUGAAUUCAUCUCCGGGGGUAGAGCACUGUUUCGGCAAGGGGGUCAUCCCGACUUACCAACCCGAUGCAAACUGCGAAUACCGGAGAAUGUUAUCACGGGAGACACACGGCGGGUGCUAACGUCCGUCGUGAAGAGGGAAACAACCCAGACCGCCAGCUAAGGUCCCAAAGUCAUGGUUAAGUGGGAAACGAUGUGGGAAGGCCCAGACAGCCAGGAUGUUGGCUUAGAAGCAGCCAUCAUUUAAAGAAAGCGUAAUAGCUCACUGGUCGAGUCGGCCUGCGCGGAAGAUGUAACGGGGCUAAACCAUGCACCGAAGCUGCGGCAGCGACGCUGAUGCGUUGUUGGGUAGGGGAGCGUUCUGUAAGCCUGUGAAGGUGUGCUGUGAGGCAUGCUGGAGGUAUCAGAAGUGCGAAUGCUGACAUAAGUAACGAUAAAGCGGGUGAAAAGCCCGCUCGCCGGAAGACCAAGGGUUCCUGUCCAACGUUAAUCGGGGCAGGGUGAGUCGACCCCUAAGGCGAGGCCGAAAGGCGUAGUCGAUGGGAAACAGGUUAAUAUUCCUGUACUUGGUGUUACUGCGAAGGGGGGACGGAGAAGGCUAUGUUGGCCGGGCGACGGUUGUCCCGGUUUAAGCGUGUAGGCUGGUUUUCCAGGCAAAUCCGGAAAAUCAAGGCUGAGGCGUGAUGACGAGGCACUACGGUGCUGAAGCAACAAAUGCCCUGCUUCCAGGAAAAGCCUCUAAGCAUCAGGUAACAUCAAAUCGUACCCCAAACCGACACAGGUGGUCAGGUAGAGAAUACCAAGGCGCUUGAGAGAACUCGGGUGAAGGAACUAGGCAAAAUGGUGCCGUAACUUCGGGAGAAGGCACGCUGAUAUGUAGGUGAAGCGACUUGCUCGUGGAGCUGAAAUCAGUCGAAGAUACCAGCUGGCUGCAACUGUUUAUUAAAAACACAGCACUGUGCAAACACGAAAGUGGACGUAUACGGUGUGACGCCUGCCCGGUGCCGGAAGGUUAAUUGAUGGGGUUAGCGCAAGCGAAGCUCUUGAUCGAAGCCCCGGUAAACGGCGGCCGUAACUAUAACGGUCCUAAGGUAGCGAAAUUCCUUGUCGGGUAAGUUCCGACCUGCACGAAUGGCGUAAUGAUGGCCAGGCUGUCUCCACCCGAGACUCAGUGAAAUUGAACUCGCUGUGAAGAUGCAGUGUACCCGCGGCAAGACGGAAAGACCCCGUGAACCUUUACUAUAGCUUGACACUGAACAUUGAGCCUUGAUGUGUAGGAUAGGUGGGAGGCUUUGAAGUGUGGACGCCAGUCUGCAUGGAGCCGACCUUGAAAUACCACCCUUUAAUGUUUGAUGUUCUAACGUUGACCCGUAAUCCGGGUUGCGGACAGUGUCUGGUGGGUAGUUUGACUGGGGCGGUCUCCUCCUAAAGAGUAACGGAGGAGCACGAAGGUUGGCUAAUCCUGGUCGGACAUCAGGAGGUUAGUGCAAUGGCAUAAGCCAGCUUGACUGCGAGCGUGACGGCGCGAGCAGGUGCGAAAGCAGGUCAUAGUGAUCCGGUGGUUCUGAAUGGAAGGGCCAUCGCUCAACGGAUAAAAGGUACUCCGGGGAUAACAGGCUGAUACCGCCCAAGAGUUCAUAUCGACGGCGGUGUUUGGCACCUCGAUGUCGGCUCAUCACAUCCUGGGGCUGAAGUAGGUCCCAAGGGUAUGGCUGUUCGCCAUUUAAAGUGGUACGCGAGCUGGGUUUAGAACGUCGUGAGACAGUUCGGUCCCUAUCUGCCGUGGGCGCUGGAGAACUGAGGGGGGCUGCUCCUAGUACGAGAGGACCGGAGUGGACGCAUCACUGGUGUUCGGGUUGUCAUGCCAAUGGCACUGCCCGGUAGCUAAAUGCGGAAGAGAUAAGUGCUGAAAGCAUCUAAGCACGAAACUUGCCCCGAGAUGAGUUCUCCCUGACUCCUUGAGAGUCCUGAAGGAACGUUGAAGACGACGACGUUGAUAGGCCGGGUGUGUAAGCGCAGCGAUGCGUUGAGCUAACCGGUACUAAUGAACCGUGAGGCUUAACCUUACAACGCCGAAGCUGUU
RNAcentral lists this ribosomal RNA (2930 nucleotides) under Escherichia coli. RNAcentral describes it as "bacterial LSU rRNA". It matches the Rfam family "Bacterial large subunit ribosomal RNA". The record is from RNAcentral. Lineage: Bacteria; Pseudomonadati; Pseudomonadota; Gammaproteobacteria; Enterobacterales; Enterobacteriaceae.